CCUGGCUCAGGACGAACGCGGGCGGCGUGCCUAAUACAUGCAAGUCGAGCGGACAGAAGGGAGCUUGCUCCCGGAUGUUAGCGGCGGACGGGUGAGUAACACGUGGGUAACCUGCCUGUAAGACUGGGAUAACUCCGGGAAACCGGAGCUAAUACCGGAUAGUUCCUUGAACCGCAUGGUUCAAGGAUGAAAGACGGUUUCGGCUGUCACUUACAGAUGGACCCGCGGCGCAUUAGCUAGUUGGUGAGGUAACGGCUCACCAAGGCGACGAUGCGUAGCCGACCUGAGAGGGUGAUCGGCCACACUGGGACUGAGACACGGCCCAGACUCCUACGGGAGGCAGCAGUAGGGAAUCUUCCGCAAUGGACGAAAGUCUGACGGAGCAACGCCGCGUGAGUGAUGAAGGUUUUCGGAUCGUAAAGCUCUGUUGUUAGGGAAGAACAAGUGCAAGAGUAACUGC
RNAcentral lists this ribosomal RNA (460 nucleotides) under Bacillus sp. EF1C-CB203. RNAcentral describes it as "bacterial SSU rRNA". It matches the Rfam family "Bacterial small subunit ribosomal RNA", at positions 18 to 467 of the family's 1533-position model. Lineage: Bacteria; Bacillati; Bacillota; Bacilli; Caryophanales; Bacillaceae. The record is from RNAcentral.